GGUGGGAUGGCAGAGCGGUUGAACGCGCCGGACUUGAAAUCCGGUACAGGGCUCGUCCCUGUCAGGGGUUCGAAUCCCCUUCCCACCG
Molecule: transfer RNA, 88 nt
Filed under: Phycisphaerae bacterium
Lineage: Bacteria; Pseudomonadati; Planctomycetota; Phycisphaerae
Description: tRNA-Ser
Rfam family: tRNA
About the family: Transfer RNA (tRNA) molecules are approximately 80 nucleotides in length. Their secondary structure includes four short double-helical elements and three loops (D, anti-codon, and T loops).
Source: RNAcentral